CCCACAUGUUCCACAGAGCACUGACGCGUAAAAAGCACAUGAUGCAACAGCAGCCGGGAGGAAAGCCACCGUCUCAUCGAGGAGACUUUGACAUCACAGCAAACCAGCAGCCUCCUGGACUCAGUUCGGCUCCAAGGUUCUCAUCUAAAUCCUCUUGAGCCGCCUGGUCACAGCGUGCGGCUGUGCGUAAAAAUGGAGCUGUCGGCGUGCACGCAGCACAGCGCUCUUACGCACACGCACAGACAUUGCACACUCGGAGAAACUUGCUUUAUGUGAAGGCUGCGGCGUGCAUGGCAGCUUCUUCACAAACUGAUGAUGUGAAGUAACGCCAUGUGGACCAGAACCGGGCGAGUCCGUCAGUUGCGCUGAGGAAGGAUGCUGAGUGAAGAUGCAGAAGGACAUUUGAGACAAGCUUACACAUUCCAUAACUCCAUUUGGGCUCUGUAAGUAUGAGCAGGACCAACAUGGAGAGUCUCAGUGAGCUCCAGAAUCCUCUUCUCGACAAAAGCAACAGACAUGUCGUGCAGGGUUACCGUGGCGACUACCCAACCCAGCAGUACCAUGAGGACAGCUUUGUGAGCUACUACUACAGCGGGACUAAUGAUGAGCACAAGUCUCAGCAGUUUCUAGACGCCACCUCACUUCAUCUUGCAGUGGAGGCCUUCUACAAACCAAACUUGAUCUUGUGUAAGGACAACGUCAGCCUCCACAGCAAAGACUCCAAGAGCGAGAGCUUUGAAACCACCUUCACAGAGAGUAAGGACGCGGUGCUGGGCGAGGACUCCGCAGACAACCAAAGCGCGCAAGGAGAGAAGGAUGUAAAGAUCCAGACGGUGUCAUAUGACGUGGAGGACGAGCAAGUUCCUGAGUAUGAGAGUGAUAGCUCCAGUGAAAGCGAGAGUGAGGACAACUUCCUGGUUCUCCCACCUCGAGACUACCUGGGCCUCGCCAUUUUCUCCAUGCUCUGCUGCUUCUGGCCUUUGGGCAUUGUUGCCUUCUACUAUUCUCACAAGGAAGGUUCUAGACUGAUGGAUGGAGUCAGGACACCUCAUUUAAAGCCAGCAGCAUCCAUCCUGCCUCCAUGAAUCCACAAACAGCAGACAGCCUCAUCUCAACAGAUGGUGCGACGGAUAAUAAGAACCAACCCAGGCAUGCAACCAGAGGGUGGGAGAGAGGAGAAGGACAUCAACAAUCAGUAAAGGACCACUGAGUUCAGAUUGUGGUGCAACACAAGCUCUGCUGAUACAACCAUCAUCUUCGGGAUGGAAGUUUUGCGAGUAUUUUAGGGAGGAAAAGUGUGUUUGCAGCUCAUAUUCCCCACCAAGCAGAGGUGAGAGGACUCACAGGAGCGCUGGUCUUCUCCUCCUGCUCCUCCUCGUCUUCCAGUGUGCUACCGUGACAAACCGUCCCCAGCACUUUGGCACUAUGCUCCUGUGCUUUGGCCCUGAGGGCAGCAAUGCUGUUCUCUCUCAGUUUCUCUUUAGAAAUGGACGACUUGCACUUUGACAUCCGCUCCACCGUCUCAGAGUCCUCGGGUCUGUGAGAGCUCGGCCGCGGGGUCUCGUUGCACUUGGCGGCCGGCGGCGGCGGUUCAGGGGGUGCUGGAGCCUCCAUGGACUUCUUGUGCAUCCCUGCAAAGAGUUGCGGGUAUUCAGAUUUAGAAUAGCGUCUGCUGACUGGUAAGCCAUCUUGAACUGAAAACAGCAAGCAAAGACAGUCGUGCUUUAGAACACAAAGACAACAGUGGAGGCACAAUAAUGUCUUUAAUGUACCAAAUUGACCCAAAUAUAAGACCCUGCUCACUAUAAAGUGCUAUUCAAAAGCUUUUAUUUUAUACACACAUGAGUUUAAUGUCAAAUAUGUGUCGCUAUAACUGACAAUGGUGCCCUGUCAUACACUACCACUCAGUGGCCAGCUGUUGUAAGUGCAAAUUAAAAAGACAUUUUACGGACCAUAGGGCACACCGGAUAAUAAGGCGCACAGCCGAUGAGCGGGUCUCGUCAGGUCUAUUUUCAUACAAAAGGCGUAUCGGAUUGUAAGGCGCAUUAAAAGGGUCAUAUUAUGAUUUUUUUCUAAAUUGAAAACACUUCCGUGUGGUCUACAUAACAUGUAAUGGUGGUUCUUUGGUGAAAAUGUUGCAUCGAUUAUGUUUUACAGACCAUCUUCAAGUCGCUUUCUGACAGUCGCUUCAGGAUGCGCCGUUUUGUGGGCGGUCUUAUUUACGUGGCUCACCUUUGACAGCGUCUUCUCCCCGUCUUCUUUGUUGUAGCGGUGUAGCGUGCAAGGACGGGACUGGAAGAAGUGUCAAAAGAUAAAGCUAACUGUUUUAAUGACAUUCAGACUUUACUUAAAUUAAUACCGGAGCAGCAUCUUCUCAUCCGUGGCUCACUAGUGCAACAACAACGCCGGAAAUGUGUCCUUUGAAAAACCGUCCGACCAGAACUCUCUAAUAAGUAAAGUUCUGUAGGUGAAUUAUGUAAACCCACUACACUGGUAGUUUUAGCACUUUCAUAGCGAGUCUACUGAAACUUUACGCCCCAUAACAAGAAGAUAAGAGAAAAAGAAGAAGCUUAUUUGCUACGGCGAUUCACGCACGAAAAGGAGGACGUGCGCAAAUUUUUUAGGACUUAUGUAGAUCCCAAAUACACAUCAGCAGGUACCAGAAGGUAAGAAAAGUUGGUUUUACAUAAUAUUGAGAAACAAAACGCCGGUUAAUAUGUCUGCUCACGGGUGCCAUAUGUUUAAGCACAAUACGUCUGACUACGGUAGCCGCAAUGCUUCGACAAUCCAUCAAGCGGCGCAGCUUCAUAGUUUACCAAAGUCGUACUAAAACAUUUUGACAGAUUUUUGAGCUCCGUGUGUAAUGUGCUAUAUUCUUAAAGGAACAUUUAAAGUUUUGGUGUCGUUUACUGGCGUCAUAUUGCAGUCUACACAUAUCUCUUAUGUGUGACUGCCAUCAACUGGUUACACUUAUCAUUACACCAUGUACCAAAUAAAAUUACUUCUUGGUCGGUAUCUACAACCAUAAUUAUUCCAUACAUAAGGCACACAUAGUUUGGAAAAUACGAUACAAAAACAAUAUUUUUCAUAGGUAUAACACAGAGGAGGAUGCAUUUAUACAUAUAAUGAAAUGAGUGGGUUUAUUAUUGUGAGUAUAUGUGAAUAAAAUUAAAUAUAUGUUCUCCCUGUGACUGCGUAGGUUCCCUGCGGCUACGCUGGCUUCCUCCCACCUCCAAAGAUUGACUGAUUGGCAACACUAAAUGGUCCCUAGUGUGUGAAUGUAAGUGUGAAUGUUGUCUGUCUAUCUGUGUUGGCCCUGUGAUGAGGUGGCGACUUGUUCAGGGUGUACCGAGCCUUCCGCCUGAGUGCAGUUGGGAUAGGCUCCAGCACCCCCUCGACCCCAAGAGGGACAAGCGGUAGAAAAUGGAUGGAUGUCUCCUGUUAAUAUACUUUAUAUUGUCAAGUAUCACGUGAUUAUGUACCAUAUUGUUGUUUAAUAAUCAAAUUAUCCGAGUGAUGGGGAAAGGGAAUAUAAGCCUUUGGUUCUUCCUGCUCCUUUUCAUACACACAAUGCUUCUUU
This is an RNA transcript of Entelurus aequoreus (snake pipefish), 3580 nucleotides long. It is a transcript of the gene named synapse differentiation-inducing gene protein 1-like, with no coding region annotated. NCBI's taxonomy places the organism in Eukaryota, Metazoa, Chordata, Actinopteri, Syngnathiformes, Syngnathidae. The transcript has 7 exons. The record is from RefSeq and is a predicted model, not a curated record.